This 422-nucleotide ribosomal RNA is filed under the name uncultured Mucinivorans sp. RNAcentral's name for it is "bacterial SSU rRNA". It matches the Rfam family "Bacterial small subunit ribosomal RNA", at positions 355 to 774 of the family's 1533-position model. Lineage: Bacteria; Pseudomonadati; Bacteroidota; Bacteroidia; Bacteroidales; Rikenellaceae. The record is from RNAcentral.
UAAGGAAUAUUGGUCAAUGGAGGCAACUCUGAACCAGCCAUGCCGCGUGCAGGAGGACGGCCCUCUGGGUUGUAAACUGCUUUUAUUCGGGAAUAAACCUACUUACGUGUAAGUAGCUGAAUGUACCGAAGGAAUAAGGAUCGGCUAACUCCGUGCCAGCAGCCGCGGUAAUACGGAGGAUCCAAGCGUUAUCCGGAUUUAUUGAGUUUAAAGGGUGCGUAGGCGGUUUUUUAAGUUAGUCGUUAAAUCUCCGAGCUCAACCCAGACAUGGCGAUUAAUACUGGAGAACUAGAGAUUAGUUGCAGAGGGCGGAAUGUGUAGUGUAGCGGUGAAAUGCUUAGAUAUUACACAGAACACCGAUUGCGAAGGCAGCUCUCUAAGCUACAUCUGACGCUGAGGCACGAAAGCGUGGGGAUCAAACA